Molecule: transfer RNA, 71 nt
Filed under: Glarea lozoyensis
Lineage: Eukaryota; Fungi; Ascomycota; Leotiomycetes; Helotiales; Helotiaceae
Also listed under: 1 other name
Description: tRNA-Trp
Rfam family: tRNA
About the family: Transfer RNA (tRNA) molecules are approximately 80 nucleotides in length. Their secondary structure includes four short double-helical elements and three loops (D, anti-codon, and T loops).
Source: RNAcentral
AAGAGUAUAGUUUAAUGGUAGAAUUUGAAGCUUCAAACUUUAUUGUCUCAGUUCAAAUCUGAGUACUCUUG